UUCAAAAAAGCAAAUAUUAUGCAUAAAAUUUAAGAUUUUAUAUAGUGGAAACACUUUUGAAA
Molecule: transfer RNA, 62 nt
Filed under: Amphitetranychus viennensis (hawthorn spider mite)
Lineage: Eukaryota; Metazoa; Arthropoda; Arachnida; Trombidiformes; Tetranychidae
Description: tRNA-Leu
Source: RNAcentral